UCAAUUCUAAGGAAUUUCAGUUUGAUUUGC
Molecule: non-coding RNA, 30 nt
Filed under: Mus musculus (house mouse)
Lineage: Eukaryota; Metazoa; Chordata; Mammalia; Rodentia; Muridae
Source: RNAcentral